Paramuricea clavata is the source of this 1459-nucleotide non-coding RNA. The record is from the annotation of a GenBank genome assembly. NCBI's taxonomy places the organism in Eukaryota, Metazoa, Cnidaria, Anthozoa, Malacalcyonacea, Plexauridae.
GUCCAUUGAAAUAGCUGUAUGUAUUACAUUAAUGUAAUGUGCAAUACCCGAAGGUGUGUGUGAACACUUACAUACUUCUUCAAAGAAACAUACUUAAAGUAUUUGAUAACCAGAACGUUCCAUCCAAAGUAUUAACUUUGAUGUCAGAACUUAGUAUAGGAUAAGAUAUAGGCUGACCAUGAACAUGUGGAGAUAUUUACCACUGUAUAUUGUUAGAUUGGUAAUGUAAAUAAUCUUGCAAUAUUUUUCAGCAUUAAAUUAUUUUAAAUCCCAAUUUGUUUGUCAAUUGAUUUUAUUCAAGCAGGUAAAGGCUUUAGUAUAUUAAACGUGCUAAAAACAAGUGUUGGUGUAAUUUUAUUCCUUGAAUUGCAGAUUUACACUACUUUGGUGUCCAAAUGGAAGUGAAACAUUUUUUUGGUGUUUUAUUGGUGUUUUCAUAUUGGUGUUUUUUAUUUGGUGUUUUUAUUUGUGUUUGUUUUUUUUGGGUUUUUUUCUUAAAAGAAACACUUGUUGGUGUAAUUCUACACUUCGGAAAGUCAAUUUACACCGGCCUUUAAGACCCAUUUCCAUCAAAGAAAAAUUUCCACGGACAGAAAAUUUUCCGAAAAUGUCAUUUUAAAAGUUGAAAAUUUUCAACUUCAGCAUUUUUUUCCGACGGAAAAUUUGUGUCGGCCAAUCACAUUUUACAAAAUUUUCUUUCCGCGGAAAAUUUUCCUGAGUGGAAAUUUAAAAAUUAAACGAGACUUACCUGGUAAGUUGAAGUUUGAUUGGAAUUCUACAAGUCAUCAGUCAGGAACGGAGGAAUUACAUGAGAGAGCGCGCGCGAGCUAUCUAGGCAAUAUUCAACGUAAUCGUGAGUGUGAACAGGAGCAUGGAACGGAGGAAUUGGGACGGGAGGGAAUCAGCUUGCCUGAUCCAGGGCAUGUAAUUCCUCCGUUCCUGACUGAUGACUUGUAGAAUUCCAAUCAAACUUCAACUUACCAGGUAAGUCUCGUUUAAUUUUUAAAUUCUACUACGUCAUCAGUCUACGUCACUACGGAAUUACACGAGAUUUCAAAGCGGUCCUGUUUACACACACACCAAUGAGUAGUAGAUGAGUCAAUGGUUUACGAAGUAACUAAACCAUGAUAGCAUCUACUAACAAACGAGCCGACAGUAUCACAUCUGCGCAAGGGCAGAUACAAAAAAGGGAAUCAUUUGAUUGUGAGGUUGGGCCGUUGGGCUAACCUCUUCUGUCUACAAUAAAUGCUAGUAGUAGUACUCUCCAAAUAAAUAAAGGUAAAGAUAAUUUCCUCAUGAUUCUUUUUAAAUUCCCUUAAAUUAAAUGCAUUGCCAUCAAGAAGCAAUGAACGAUUGUUGCCAUAAGAUUGCAAACCCGUACCCAGGCUGUUCCCUGGUACCGAUACGACUCACAAUUCCUAUACCAUAAGACGGAAUUUUUCAUUAUUAUUAAGCAUAC